This 719-nucleotide ribosomal RNA is filed under the name uncultured bacterium. RNAcentral's name for it is "bacterial SSU rRNA". It matches the Rfam family "Bacterial small subunit ribosomal RNA", at positions 49 to 741 of the family's 1533-position model. The record is from RNAcentral.
UCGAGCGAGCUUGCCUAGAUGAUUUUAGUGCUUGCACUAAAUGAAACUAGAUACAAGCGAGCGGCGGACGGGUGAGUAACACGUGGGUAACCUGCCCAAGAGACUGGGAUAACACCUGGAAACAGAUGCUAAUACCGGAUAACAACACUAGACGCAUGUCUAGAGUUUGAAAGAUGGUUCUGCUAUCACUCUUGGAUGGACCUGCGGUGCAUUAGCUAGUUGGUAAGGUAACGGCUUACCAAGGCAAUGAUGCAUAGCCGAGUUGAGAGACUGAUCGGCCACAUUGGGACUGAGACACGGCCCAAACUCCUACGGGAGGCAGCAGUAGGGAAUCUUCCACAAUGGACGAAAGUCUGAUGGAGCAACGCCGCGUGAGUGAAGAAGGGUUUCGGCUCGUAAAGCUCUGUUGGUAGUGAAGAAAGAUAGAGGUAGUAACUGGCCUUUAUUUGACGGUAAUUACUUAGAAAGUCACGGCUAACUACGUGCCAGCAGCCGCGGUAAUACGUAGGUGGCAAGCGUUGACCGGAUUUAUUGGGCGUAAAGCGAGUGCAGGCGGUUCAAUAAGUCUGAUGUGAAAGCCUUCGGCUCAACCGGAGAAUUGCAUCAGAAACUGUUGAACUUGAGUGCAGAAGAGGAGAGUGGAACUCCAUGUGUAGCGGUGGAAUGCGUAGAUAUAUGGAAGAACACCAGUGGCGAAGGCGGCUCUCUGGUCUGCAACU